GGGGGGGGGGGGGGGGGGGGGUGGGACGGGGGGGUCGGGCGAACAGACGAGGAGCUUGCUCCUCGGACGUUCGCGGCGGACGGGUGAGUAACACGUGGAUAAACUACCUAUCAGACUGGGAGAACUUCGGGAAACCGGAGCUAAUACCGGAUAAUGUAUUGAACCGCAUGUGUCCAGAGUGAAGGCCGCAUUUGCUGUCUCUUAUAGAUGGAUCCGGGCCGCCUGAGCUCGUGGGUGAGGUAACGGCCUACCAAGGCGACCAUGCGUACCCCACCUGGGAGGGUGAUCGGCCACACUGGAACUGAGACACGGUCCAGACUCAUACGGGAGGCAGCAGUAGGGAAUCUUCCGCAAUGGGCGAAAGCCUGACGGAGCAACGCCGCGUGAGUGAUGAAGGUCUUCGGAUCGUAAAACUCUGUUAUUAGGGAAGAACAAAUGUGUAAGUAACUAUGCACGUCUUGACGGUACCUAAUCAGAAAGCCACGGCUAACUACGUG
Molecule: ribosomal RNA, 497 nt
Filed under: uncultured bacterium
Lineage: Bacteria
Description: partial 16S ribosomal RNA
Rfam family: Bacterial small subunit ribosomal RNA
Source: RNAcentral